Molecule: ribosomal RNA, 497 nt
Filed under: uncultured bacterium
Lineage: Bacteria
Description: partial 16S ribosomal RNA
Rfam family: Bacterial small subunit ribosomal RNA
Source: RNAcentral
GAUGAACGCUGGCGGCGUGCUUAACACAUGCAAGUCGAACGAAGCAUUUAAGACAGAUUACUUCGGUUUGAAGUUUUUUAUGACUGAGUGGCGGACGGGUGAGUAACGCGUGGGUAACCUGCCUCAUACAGGGGGAUAGCAGCUGGAAACGGCUGGUAAUACCGCAUAAGCGCACAGUACCACAUGGUACAGUGUGAAAAACUCCGGUGGUAUGAGAUGGGCCCGCGUCUGAUUAGCUGGUUGGCGGGGUAACGGCCCACCAAGGCGACGAUCAGUAGCCGACCUGAGAGGGUGACCGGCCACAUUGGGACUGGGACACGGCCCAGACUCCUACGGGAGGCAGCAGUGGGGAAUAUUGCACAAUGGAGGAAACUCUGAUGCAGCGACGCCGCGUGAGUGAAGAAGUAGUUUGCUAUGUAAAGCUCUAUCAGCAGGGAAGAUAGUGACGGUACCUGACUAAGAAGCUCCGGCUAAAUACGUGCCAGCAGCCGCCGUAA